RNAcentral lists this ribosomal RNA (391 nucleotides) under uncultured Erysipelothrix sp. RNAcentral describes it as "bacterial SSU rRNA". It matches the Rfam family "Bacterial small subunit ribosomal RNA", at positions 984 to 1382 of the family's 1533-position model. The record is from RNAcentral. Lineage: Bacteria; Bacillati; Bacillota; Erysipelotrichia; Erysipelotrichales; Erysipelotrichaceae.
CAAUGCCAGUAAAACCCUAGAGAUAGGGCCAUAGUUAUACUGGACACAGGUGGUGCAUGGUUGUCGUCAGCUCGUGUCGUGAGAUGUUGGGUUAAGUCCCGCAACGAGCGCAACCCUUGCUUUAGUUACCAUCAUUAAGUUGGGGAACUCUAGAGAAACUGCCGGUGACAAACCGGAGGAAGGUGGGGAUGACGUCAAAUCAUCAUGCCCCUUAUGACCUGGGCUACACACGUAAUACAAUGGCGUAUACAACGGGACGCGAAAGGGCGACCUGGAGCAAAUCUCAUAAAUACGUCUCAGUUCGGAUUGAAGUCUGCAACUCGACUUCAUGAAGUUGGAAUCGCUAGUAAUCGCGGAUCAGCAUGCCGCGGUGAAUACGUUCUCGGGGUUU